AUGGGAAAGUUUAAACUCUUUUGAUAAGGUGACAUUUUAUUCUAAACUUACGAAGGGACAGCCGCACUGACCGAUCCGGCUAACCCGCAUGAUGAAAGAUUAAACCUUUAUAUAGAAGAAAAUACAUAUCACAACUAUCAAAAUGGGUCAUAACAAGAACUUUUUGCACUACAACUAAAGCUAGUACUGUUGGUAAUUGUUUAUUAACAAGAUCGGAAACGGAUGUCGUUGGACUAUCGAUCACAAUAUGGUGUGAAGGAUAUGAACAGAGUGAAUAUAGAAUUGAAUGUCUUUUCUGACAGAAAGGGAUUUACAAAUAUAUAGAUAUGCAAGUAACAUUUCUGGAGAAGUUGUGUUCUUCAGGAGAAGUUAUACCUUUUCAAGUUGGAAUAUAACUGUUCAUAUCAUUUAAUUAAUUAAUUAAUUAUAUUAUAUUAUAUUAUAUAAUUUUCUUUAUUAAUUAAUUAACUUAUUUCACUACAAUCAUAUGUAUAUUAGUACACCAAUGUUAUGGUAUACUUUCACAUAUGAUUACACAUAUUGUGAAAACCAUGUUAUCAUAAUCAUAUUCCAACAUCUCCCACUUGAUUAUGAUGACAUAAAUGGUUUCCUAUUCUGAUUUGUUUCUCAAGAGUAUUACUCAUAAACAAAUUGAAUGUAACAUCAGAUAUGUGGUUUCUUUACCUGGUGCGCAUCAUUCCACUUAAUCUGAUAACAUUUUACUCUUUAGUAAAAUGGCAUCAUAUCCAAGUAACUAGGAAAAACAAUCCAUACCCAGUUACAAAUGAUGACUUAGCCCUGCACUAUACGCCACUGUGUUAUAUAAAUUAUUUCUUGAAGCUUAUUACGGAUUUUACUUUCAAGACGAUUUAUUAUAACCUGGGUACCUCGCUA
This 894-nucleotide long non-coding RNA is filed under the name Malus domestica (apple). RNAcentral's name for it is "long non-coding RNA (MDOM_LNC012296)". Lineage: Eukaryota; Viridiplantae; Streptophyta; Magnoliopsida; Rosales; Rosaceae. The record is from RNAcentral.